This 465-nucleotide ribosomal RNA is filed under the name uncultured bacterium. Its description in RNAcentral is "partial 16S ribosomal RNA". It matches the Rfam family "Bacterial small subunit ribosomal RNA", at positions 338 to 795 of the family's 1533-position model. The record is from RNAcentral.
CCUACGUGCGGCUGCAGUGGGGAAUAUUGCGCAAUGGGCGAAAGCCUGACGCAGCGACGCCGCGUGAGGGAUGAAGGUCUUCGGAUCGUAAACCUCUGUCAGCAGGGAAGAACGGUCACUGUGCUAAUCAGCAGUGAAUUGACGGUACCUGCAAAGGAAGCACCGGCUAACUCCGUGCCAGCAGCCGCGGUAGUACGGAGGGUGCGAGCGUUAAUCGGAAUUACUGGGCGUAAAGCGCUCGUAGGUGGUAUGUCAAGUCAAGGGUGAAAUCCCCGCGCUCAACGUGGGAACUGCAUUUGAAACUGGCAAACUGGAGUGUGUGAGAGGAUAGUGGAAUUCCAGGUGUAGGAGUGAAAUCCGUAGAUAUCUGGAGGAACAUCAGUGGCGAAGGCGACUAUCUGGCACAUAACUGACGCUGAGGAGCGAAAGCGUGGGUAGCAAACAGGAUUAGAUACCCCUGUAGUC